RNAcentral lists this ribosomal RNA (465 nucleotides) under uncultured bacterium. Its description in RNAcentral is "partial 16S ribosomal RNA". It matches the Rfam family "Bacterial small subunit ribosomal RNA", at positions 28 to 507 of the family's 1533-position model. The record is from RNAcentral.
GACGAACGCUGGCGGCGUGCUUAACACAUGCAAGUCGAACGGAAAGGCCCCUUUUGGGGUACUCGAGUGGCGAACGGGUGAGUAACACGUGAGUAACCUGCCCUUGACUUCGGGAUAACUUCAGGAAACUGGGUCUAAUACCGGAUAGGAAUCCUUUCUUCAUGGUGGGGGUUGGAAAGCUUCGGCGGGUUUGGAUGGACUCGCGGCUUAUCAGCUUGUUGGUGGGGUAGUGGCUUACCAAGGCUUUGACGGGUAGCCGGCCUGAGAGGGCGACCGGCCACAUUGGGGAUGGGAUAAGGCCCCGACUCCUACGGGAGGCAGCAGGGGGGAAUAUUGCACAAUGGGGGGAAGCCUGAUGCAGCAACGCCGCGUGCGGGAUGACGGCCUUCGGGUUGUAAAACGGUUUCAGCAGGGGAGAAGCUUGUGGUGACGGUACCUGCAGAAGAAGCACCGGCUAACUACGUG